GACGAACGCUGGCGGCGUGCCUAAUACAUGCAAGUUGAGCGCUGAAGGUUGGUACUUGUACCAACUGGAUGAGCAGCGAACGGGUGAGUAACGCGUGGUGAAUCUGCCUUUGAGCGGGGGACAACAUUUUGAAACGAAUGCUAUACCGCAUAAAAACUUUAAACACAAGUUUUAAGUUUGAAAGAUGCAAUUGCAUCACUCAAAGAUGAUCCCGCGUUGUAUUAGCUAGUUGGUGAGGUAAAGGCUCACCAAGGCGAUGAUACAUAGCCGACCUGAGAGGGUGAUCGGCCACAUUGGGACUGAGACACGGCCCAAACUCCUACGGGAGGCAGCAGUAGGGAAUCUUCGGCAAUGGACGAAAGUCUGACCGAGCAACGCCGCGUGAGUGAAGAAGGUUUUCGGAUCGUAAAAAUCUGUUGGUAGAGAAGAACGUUGGUGAGAGUGGAAAGCUCAUCAAGUGACGGUAACUACACAGAAAGGGACGGCUAACUACGUG
This 496-nucleotide ribosomal RNA is filed under the name uncultured bacterium. RNAcentral's name for it is "partial 16S ribosomal RNA". It matches the Rfam family "Bacterial small subunit ribosomal RNA", at positions 28 to 507 of the family's 1533-position model. The record is from RNAcentral.